Gasterosteus aculeatus (three-spined stickleback) is the source of this 1107-nucleotide long non-coding RNA. Lineage: Eukaryota; Metazoa; Chordata; Actinopteri; Perciformes; Gasterosteidae. The record is from Ensembl.
AUGUUUUUCAAAAGCGUUUAUGGAAGAAGGCAACACCACAAAGCCGAUGUGGAAGAAAAAGCAACACCGCCCGUAGUUGAUUCUCCUAUGGUACGGAGGUCCUCUGUUAUGGUGACACAUACACAUGUUAUGCUCUCAGUUUAUUUAAUGUUGUUUUGGUAUGGUGUUGAUGGUGUGUCUCUCCUUUGUUUGUCCCAGAAAAUAGAAACAUUGACUGAGGAGCCCAAGAUGGAAACCACACCUGUCAAACCAAACACAUCAUCCAGCCCACACAAGGCGUCGCCAUUAUUUAAAACCGCGGGGGGCAUCCCGCAACUAGACAAAAGAAGUCCGUUUGUGCUGCUUAAAAAUAUAUAUCGAUCAUCUGGCGGGUAUCAGUGUGAGCAUUGCGAUCAGAGCGUCGCCAGCGUUUCACAGCUCAUGGAACACAGAAAACGGCACAGCUCCUUUGUCUGUGAGAAAUGUGGACUGUCCUUCGAAAGGCACGCCGAUUUCACCAAGCACCAAUGUGUUCCCGAGCCCUUCUUUCUGUGCAACAUGUGUGAUCGGUCUUUCUCUACACGGCCUAACCUCAAGCGCCAUCGGCUGAUGCACGUCAAAGACGGCAGGAAGUGUCCCACGUGCGGCGUGCUGUUCUGUCAACGCCACAAUCACGUUUUGUUCGCGCCACUGCCGCCGUCCAUAACCGAGUACGAAGAGGAUUCCACCGCCACCGGGCCCCAAAAUGCCUACGGCACUGACCGGGGUCACCAUGCUGAAAGCAGUGUGGCCACCGAGACCCAACGUCCAGCCCCGUGUGCAAAGAUCUCUUCAGAAAUCUUUGUGCCCGUGUUAUGCAAGCCUCCCUCUCAGUCGGGUCCACCGCUGCCGGUAACCAAGGUUACAAGGAAAUCUCCGACCGCGUCGUGUCAUGCAUCCUUCGCUCAGACGCUUCUGCCUCCACAUCCAGAACUUCCACCCUCACUGAAGCUCUUUUCACCAAAGUACCUCACCUCAGCAUUUCUUCAGGUUAAAAGAAAUUAUGAAUAUAUUUUAAGCAAACCAAAAGGUGUCAACAAGACUUGUGAAGGAGAAACCAUGAAAGCGGCCUCUGAUUCCUCCGCAUGA